Molecule: ribosomal RNA, 503 nt
Filed under: uncultured bacterium
Lineage: Bacteria
Description: partial 16S ribosomal RNA
Rfam family: Bacterial small subunit ribosomal RNA
Source: RNAcentral
AUUGAACGCUGGCGGCAGGCUUAACACAUGCAAGUCGAGCGGGGUGAUGGUGCUUGCACUAUCACUUAGCGGCGGACGGGUGAGUAAUGCUUAGGAAUCUGCCUAUUAGUGGGGGACAACAUCUCGAAAGGGAUGCUAAUACCGCAUACGUCCUACGGGAGAAAGCAGGGGAUCACUUGUGACCUUGCGCUAAUAGAUGAGCCUAAGUCGGAUUAGCUAGUUGGUGGGGUAAAGGCCUACCAAGGCGACGAUCUGUAGCGGGUCUGAGAGGAUGAUCCGCCAGACUGGGACUGAGGCCCGGCCCAGACUCCUACGGGAGGUAGAGGUGGGGAAUAUUGAACAAUGGGGGGGACCCUGAUCCAGCCAUGCCGCGUGUGUGAAAAAGGCCUUAUGGUUGUAAAGCACUUUAAGCGAGGAGGAGGCUCUUUUGGUUAAUACCCAAGAUGAGUGGACGUUACUCGCAGAAUAAGCACCGGCUAACUCUGUGCCAGCCGCCGCCGUAA